ACAUACUGCGCACGAAUAAACGCGUCAGAAGCAGUGUGUUCUUCAUUACAGUAGUGCGUACAGUUAUACGGUGUCAGUUGGUCCCAUUAAAUCUGCGUUUAAAAUAUCGGAUAGUUAUAAAACUGCAUAGAGAGUCUGUGACUUAAUUUAUUGCCUGCAAAUUUUGAUUAUUUACGUUUAUACCAGUAACCAACAGCAAAGAUGAAGACUAAAUUCAUCAAUGGCGUCUCUUCCUCGCCUUCAAUGUCUCUGGGUUUAUUGGUAAAUGAGAAUGUCCUCGAAGUCCAACCAGACAUUGGGAACGACUGCAAAGACAUUAUUCGACCGGAUGAGCCCGACCACCAGACGAAGCAUAAGGCGUAUCUAUGGUGUAAAGAAUUCCUUCACGGAGCCUGGAAGUCCAUAGAUGAGGAUGAUUUCCAAAUCUCCAUUAUCAGGGGAGGUCUCAGCAACAAACUGUUCCUCUGUGCUUUGCCAGAGAAGCAACCAAGCAUUGGAGAUGAACCACAAAAUGUGCUCCUUCGUCUGUAUGGAGAAAUUCUGCAGAUGUCCUGUAAUAAAGGGGAUUCCAGACAAUCAAACAAAGAAAAUCACUUUCAAGGAGCUGAUGCCAUGGUACUGGAGAGUGUGAUGUUUGCCAUCCUGGCCGAGAGGGAGCUUGGGCCCAAGCUCUAUGGCAUUUUUCCACAGGGGAGACUGGAACAGUUUGUCCCUAGUCGAAAAUUGUCCACAGAUGAGCUGAGUGUCCCUGGUAUAUUUGCUGAGAUUGCUGAAAAGAUCACCAGAUUUCAUGGAAUGAGAAUGCCCUUCAACAAGGAGCCAAAGUGGCUGUUUGGCACCAUGGAAAAGUACAUGGAUCAAGUGCUUCAGCUCACCUUCACCAGGGAGCAACAUCUACGAAACUUCUCCCGCCUUUUGAGCUACAACUUGCCACAAGAGAUGGACAGUCUCAAGUGUCUACUUGAAUCAACUCCCUCUCCUGUUGUUUUCUGCCACAAUGACUUGCAAGAAGGAAACAUCUUGCUCCUGAGUAGCCGUGAGAACACGGACAGACAGAGGCUCAUGUUAAUCGACUUUGAAUACAGCAGCUACAACUACAGAGGAUUUGACAUUGGAAAUUUCUUCUGUGAGUGGGCUUAUGACUACACCUUUGACAAGUUUCCAUUUUUCAUCACCAACACCAAAAAUUACCCCAACAAAGCACAGCAGAUGCAUUUCUUUCAGACUUAUCUGUUGGAAUCUCAUGCUGGAUUUGAAAACUUGAGUGAGGAGGACCAGCUGAAACUCAAAGAGGAUAUGCUAGUGGAGGUUAACAGGUUCGCUCUGGCCUCCCAUUUCUUCUGGGGAUUGUGGUCCGUGAUCCAGGCCAAAAUAUCAACUAUUGAGUUUGGGUACAUGGAGUACGCCAUGGCCAGAUUUGAUGCGUACUUUGAGCUGAAAAAGAAGCUCAGGGUUUAAAGAAAACCCUUUAUGCAUAAAUUCCCAACGGACAGUAGGAAGAGGGAACAACUGCUCAUAUGGUAUCAAGAAAAGAGCGGCGCAAAUUUUGAAUGUGUUUAAAAGAGGAUGCUCUGCGUCUGUAGUGAUUCAACCGUGCUGCAUGGACCAAAAUCAAUGCAACAUACAUAUUUAAAAAAAGGCCCUGUGCAUUGAGUGUCCCCAUAUGCUGAUUCUCAGUGUUUACAAGUUUAAGCUUCUCACAUUUAACACACCAGCCUGAGCUUCUGGACAGUUGGAGAAUAAUAGAGAAGAAUAACGAGGUCACAGGGGAAAAUAUUUUACACAGCUGCAAUUUGAUUCACAAGUCAAAGAAUGGAGUGGUGGAAAGUUCUUCAUACUAACUUCAGCCUUGUGGUGUUUCUUAUCACCUAGUCAUGUAGUGUCAUCUAUACAACCGGUGAUAGAAGAUGCGCUGUGAAAGAGUAAGGUUCAAAAACUGGACCUGUUACCAGAUGGUAACAGACCAAACGAUGUUAACACUGCGCUUCUGAUGAUUCAGUAUUGUGUUUGUUUCCAUUUCUGUUUCCAUUUUUUGGGUGUCCUUUUUACUGGAUGAUUUACCUCUUUUCUACUUCUAUUAGAUCAUGUCUUGUUUGAUGUCUGUUUCUAGUAGAUCCGCAUGUUGUGAAGUGAAAUACCUGUGGGACCGCACCAUGUGCGUGUAGUAUGAAAUAUCUGUCUUAACAUUGGAAAACUAUGGUUUUGACCAUAGUGAUGUCAUUCCCCUCUUGUUAGAGGUGCUCGUUUAUUUUAUAAGAAUUUGAUAAGUAUGAGAUUACCCGCCUGUAUCUGAUUUGAUACUGAAUUGAUAACUGUUAGAUAUUAAUAUAAAACUUUAUAACAGUUGAUCUUAAAAUAACAGCCUUUUGAUUAAUAUAACAGUUGGUCUGAUUACAAUUUCACAGUGAACGUUUAUGAAUGUUUAUUCUCCUUUUCUUUUUAAAAAUGCUAUAAAAUUGUUUUACGACUGAACAAUAUUUACUUAGUUUUGCAUUUUAGUUCAACUUAUAACCUUAAAUUGCGGUAAAAAUAUUGUUUAUUUUUUUCAUAUAUUUGAAAUUUGUAAUACAAUAUUAUUAAGGCAGUCUUGCUUUUUUACUAAUGGUAAUGUCGAAGGCACUUUGUGAAAAAGUUGUAUUAAUUGCAAAUGUAACUUUUCUAUUAUUUUUCUGCAACGGAAGUUGUAUUGUUCUUAAGAAAGUGUUCUGUGUCGUUACUGAAAUAAUAUAAGUGGAUCUCUUGGCCCUUUUUUAACUGUAGUAUACUGGUGAUCAAUUGAUUUCUGUUUUCACAUAUCACGCACAUAUCUUAAAUCAUAUAAAAUAAAAUAAAUAUAUUUAUUUACAUGUUCCUAUGUAACUGGUCUCUAUGAAUCUCAAUUUUUAGAACAUUAGUAAACAGAAAGGAAAAGUGAAAGUAUAGUGUUGAUGUUAAAAAAAAUUUAAAAUAAUUGAAUAUGAUUCCGUUUUUAAAAUCAGUUGUUUAUCUAGACAAGCUUUACUAACUUAUCCAUCUGUUAACAUCAAUAUAAAGCAUCUGAUGCUUGUUCUCUCUAAAUAUCCAUUAAAUGUACAAAUAUACAAAAUGAGGAAUAGAAAAUUCAAAAGACUUAAGUGAAACCAUUCAACAGGUUGUAAUGUACUAAUUUAUGCUUGCAUAUGACUGUGAAUAAAGGGUUGUAAAA
Sinocyclocheilus anshuiensis is the source of this 3184-nucleotide RNA transcript. It is a transcript of the gene named choline kinase alpha-like, with no coding region annotated. Lineage: Eukaryota; Metazoa; Chordata; Actinopteri; Cypriniformes; Cyprinidae. The transcript has 13 exons. The record is from RefSeq and is a predicted model, not a curated record.